This 329-nucleotide ribosomal RNA is filed under the name uncultured eukaryote. Its description in RNAcentral is "partial 18S ribosomal RNA". It matches the Rfam family "Eukaryotic small subunit ribosomal RNA", at positions 1470 to 1796 of the family's 1831-position model. The record is from RNAcentral.
CCCUUAGAUGUCCUGGGCCGCACGCGCGCUACACUGAGUGUCUGAGAUACGAGUCUGCCUGGUCCGGCAAGGUCUAGGUAAUCGCUAAAAGACACAUCAUGCUUGGGUUAGAUUAUUGCAAAUAUUAAUCUUGAACGAGGAAUUCCUAGUAAGCGCAAGUCAACAGCUUGCGUUGAUUACGUCCCUGCCCUUUGUACACACCGCCCGUCGCUACUACUGAUUGGAUGUUUAAGCGAGGUUCUCGAACUGCUAGCGACUUAGCUUCGGUGAGGUCGCAGUGUGGGAAGUGAACCUAGCUUUGGUGUCUAGAGGAAGUAAAAGUCGUAACA